CUUGCUCUCGGGUGACGAGCGGCGGACGGGUGAGUAAUGUCUGGGAAACUGCCUGAUGGAGGGGGAUAACUACUGGAAACGGUAGCUAAUACCGCAUAACGUCGCAAGACCAAAGUGGGGGACCUUCGGGCCUCAUGCCAUCAGAUGUGCCCAGAUGGGAUUAGCUAGUAGGUGGGGUAACGGCUCACCUAGGCGACGAUCCCUAGCUGGUCUGAGAGGAUGACCAGCCACACUGGAACUGAGACACGGUCCAGACUCCUACGGGAGGCAGCAGUGGGGAAUAUUGCACAAUGGGCGCAAGCCUGAUGCAGCCAUGCCGCGUGUGUGAAGAAGGCCUUCGGGUUGUAAAGCACUUUCAGCGGGGAGGAAGGCGGUGAGGUUAAUAACCUCAUCGAUUGACGUUACCCGCAGAAGAAGCACCGGCUAACUCCGUGCCAGCAGCCGCGGUAAUACGGAGGGUGCAAGCGUUAAUCGGAAUUACUGGGCGUAAA
This 491-nucleotide ribosomal RNA is filed under the name Klebsiella pneumoniae. RNAcentral describes it as "bacterial SSU rRNA". It matches the Rfam family "Bacterial small subunit ribosomal RNA", at positions 75 to 564 of the family's 1533-position model. The record is from RNAcentral. Lineage: Bacteria; Pseudomonadati; Pseudomonadota; Gammaproteobacteria; Enterobacterales; Enterobacteriaceae.